Long non-coding RNA from Gossypium arboreum, 520 nucleotides. RefSeq lists it as uncharacterized. NCBI's taxonomy places the organism in Eukaryota, Viridiplantae, Streptophyta, Magnoliopsida, Malvales, Malvaceae. The transcript has 2 exons. The record is from RefSeq and is a predicted model, not a curated record.
UGCAGGCCUUCAUUACUGAGCACGAGCACUUGUUUACAGCUGCAGUGUAUGCUAAUCUUCUAAAAGUCCAAGUCCUUGGAAGAGAGAUACCUCCUGAUGCACAAGAUCAAAUAUUAGAGAUUUUAUCACGUUAGCAAUCGAAUUAUAUCUUCCAAAUCAUAUGAUUUUUGCUCACAUGGUUAAUUUCUGGUCUCCCUAUCAGAACAGCAGAGUCUGUCAACCUUUUCCUUUGAAGUUAUUGUCCGUCAUGCUCCAACUACAGGUAUUUUUUUCGAAUGCCAAAGAUACGAGGUUUGUUUUAUUGCAUUCAUAAUUAUAAUUUGCUCUUCGUGUAGUAUCAAUUUUGUGAGCUGCGUGUUUCUCCAUUUUUCUUUAUUGCUUUUGAUUAGUAUCGAUCACCUAGGGAUUAAAAGUGCAAAUUUCAUGUUAUGUUGUUAAUCACAUGCUAGUUGUCUUGUUGUUGUGGACAUCGUACAUCCCAACUUUGAAUUGCUAUAGGAAGUCCAAGUUGGAUAAGAAA